RNAcentral lists this ribosomal RNA (1358 nucleotides) under uncultured bacterium. RNAcentral describes it as "bacterial SSU rRNA". It matches the Rfam family "Bacterial small subunit ribosomal RNA", at positions 28 to 1381 of the family's 1533-position model. The record is from RNAcentral.
GAUGAACGCUAGCUACAGGCUUAACACAUGCAAGUCGAGGGGCAGCAUGGUCUUAGCUUGCUAAGGCCGAUGGCGACCGGCGCACGGGUGAGUAACACGUAUCCAACCUGCCGUCUACUCUUGGACAGCCUUCUGAAAGGAAGAUUAAUACAAGAUGGCAUCAUGAGUCCGCAUGUUCACAUGAUUAAAGGUAUUCCGGUAGACGAUGGGGAUGCGUUCCAUUAGAUAGUAGGCGGGGUAACGGCCCACCUAGUCUUCGAUGGAUAGGGGUUCUGAGAGGAAGGUCCCCCACAUUGGAACUGAGACACGGUCCAAACUCCUACGGGAGGCAGCAGUGAGGAAUAUUGGUCAAUGGGCGAGAGCCUGAACCAGCCAAGUAGCGUGAAGGAUGACUGCCCUAUGGGUUGUAAACUUCUUUUAUAAAGGAAUAAAGUCGGGUAUGGAUACCCGUUUGCAUGUACUUUAUGAAUAAGGAUCGGCUAACUCCGUGCCAGCAGCCGCGGUAAUACGGAGGAUCCGAGCGUUAUCCGGAUUUAUUGGGUUUAAAGGGAGCGUAGAUGGAUGUUUAAGUCAGUUGUGAAAGUUUGCGGCUCAACCGUAAAAUUGCAGUUGAUACUGGAUAUCUUGAGUGCAGUUGAGGCAGGCGGAAUUCGUGGUGUAGCGGUGAAAUGCUUAGAUAUCACGAAGAACUCCGAUUGCGAAGGCAGCCUGCUAAGCUGCAACUGACAUUGAGGCUCGAAAGUAUGGGUAUCAAACAGGAUUAGAUACCCUGGUAGUCCACACGGUAAACGAUGAAUACUCGCUGUUUGCGAUAUACUGCAAGCGGCCAAGCGAAAGCGUUAAGUAUUCCACCUGGGGAGUACGCCGGCAACGGUGAAACUCAAAGGAAUUGACGGGGGCCCGCACAAGCGGAGGAACAUGUGGUUUAAUUCGAUGAUACGCGAGGAACCUUACCCGGGCUUAAAUUGCAGAUGAAUUACGGUGAAAGCCGUAAGCCGCAAGGCAUCUGUGAAGGUGCUGCAUGGUUGUCGUCAGCUCGUGCCGUGAGGUGUCGGCUUAAGUGCCAUAACGAGCGCAACCCUUGUUGUCAGUUACUAACAGGUUCCGCUGAGGACUCUGACAAGACUGCCAUCGUAAGAUGUGAGGAAGGUGGGGAUGACGUCAAAUCAGCACGGCCCUUACGUCCGGGGCUACACACGUGUUACAAUGGGGGGUACAGAGGGCCGCUACCACGCGAGUGGAUGCCAAUCCCCAAAACCUCUCUCAGUUCGGACUGGAGUCUGCAACCCGACUCCACGAAGCUGGAUUCGCUAGUAAUCGCGCAUCAGCCACGGCGCGGUGAAUACGUUCCCGGGCCU